This 512-nucleotide ribosomal RNA is filed under the name bacterium enrichment culture clone OZDCA237. RNAcentral describes it as "bacterial SSU rRNA". It matches the Rfam family "Bacterial small subunit ribosomal RNA", at positions 9 to 527 of the family's 1533-position model. The record is from RNAcentral.
GAGUUUGAUCUUGGCUCAGAUUGAACGCUGGCGGCAUGCCUAACACAUGCAAGUCGAACGGAAACAGCACGAAGCUUGCUUUGAGCUGUUUUAGUGGCGGACGGGUGAGUAACGCGUGAGUAACCUGCCUUUCAGAGGGGGAUAACGUCUGGAAACGGACGCUAAUACCGCAUGAUAUAUUUUGGUCGCAUGGCCGGGAUAUCAAAGGAGCAAUCCGCUGAAAGAUGGACUCGCGUCCGAUUAGCUAGUUGGUGAGAUAAAGGCCCACCAAGGCGACGAUCGGUAGCCGGACUGAGAGGUUGAACGGCCACAUUGGGACUGAGACACGGCCCAGACUCCUACGGGAGGCAGCAGUGGGGGAUAUUGCACAAUGGAGGAAACUCUGAUGCAGCAACGCCGCGUGAGGGAAGACGGUUUUCGGAUUGUAAACCUCUGUCCUUGGUGACGAAAAAAAUGACGGUAGCCAAGGAGGAAGCUCCGGCUAACUACGUGCCAGCAGCCGCCGCAGUAAG